UACGGGGGGGGCAAGCGUUGUUCGGAAUUACUGGGCGUAAAGGGCUCGUAGGUGGCCAACUAAGUCGGACGUGAAAUCCCUCGGCUUAACCGGGGAACUGCGUCCGAUACUGGAUGGCUUGAGUUUGGGAGAGGGAUGCGGAAUUCCAGGUGUAGCGGUGAAAUGCGUAGAUAUCUGGAGGAACACCGGUGGCGAAGGCGGCAUCCUGGACCGAUACUGACGCUGAGGAGCGAAAGCCAGGGGAGCAAACGGG
RNAcentral lists this ribosomal RNA (253 nucleotides) under uncultured bacterium. RNAcentral's name for it is "partial 16S ribosomal RNA". It matches the Rfam family "Bacterial small subunit ribosomal RNA", at positions 524 to 776 of the family's 1533-position model. The record is from RNAcentral.